GUGCUUAACACAUGCAAGUCGAGUGCGCAGUCCCUGUAGCAAUACAGGGGCCGGCGCACGGCGCACGGGUGCGUAACACGUGGGCAAUCUGCCCUCGGAUGGGGGAUAACCCCGCGAAAGCGGGGCUAAUACCGCAUGACAUUCCGGAGACCCUGGUCUCUGGAUUCAAAGCCGUAAGGCGUCUGAGGAGGAGCCCGCGCCCGAUUAGCUUGUUGGUGAGGUAACGGCUCACCAAGGCUUUGAUCGGUAGCCGGUCUGAGAGGAUGGCCGGCCACACUGGAACUGAGACACGGUCCAG
This 298-nucleotide ribosomal RNA is filed under the name uncultured bacterium. RNAcentral's name for it is "partial 16S ribosomal RNA". It matches the Rfam family "Bacterial small subunit ribosomal RNA", at positions 44 to 334 of the family's 1533-position model. The record is from RNAcentral.